This is a long non-coding RNA of Eriocheir sinensis (Chinese mitten crab), 1694 nucleotides long. RefSeq lists it as uncharacterized. The record is from RefSeq and is a predicted model, not a curated record. The transcript has 5 exons. NCBI's taxonomy places the organism in Eukaryota, Metazoa, Arthropoda, Malacostraca, Decapoda, Varunidae.
GCGGGAUUUCCUGGUGUGGUAGGGGCAGUAGACGGAACACAUGUGAGGAUUGUUGCACCCAAGGAAUUUGAGGCAGAGUAUGUGAACAGAAAAGGGCACCACUCUAUAAAUGUGCAAGUCGUAUGUGACACACACGGGAGAAUUUUACACCAAACUGCAAACUGGCCCGGGUCUGUCCAUGACGCACGUAUCUUGCGUGAAAGUGCUCUGUUCACAGGGUUCGAGAGGAGUAUGGUCCCUGCAGGAUGCCACUUAUUGGGAGACAGUGCCUACCCCUCCAAGAAGUGGCUCCUGACACCCAAUGUACGACCUCAGCCGGGCCCACAGUCCGCCUAUAAUAGAGCACACAAAAGGACAAGGAGCACAGUGGAGAGGGGGAUUGGCCAGUGGAAGCGGAGAUUUCAUGUGCUCCAUGGUGAAAUCAGAGUCAGCCCUCCUGCAUAUGUGUGUAGAAUAAUACAGGUGUGUGCUAUUUUGCACAACAUCUGCAAAGACAGACGCCUCCCUGUACCCGAGGAAGGAGAGGACGAGGGUGAUGGUGCAGGUUUCCAUGAGGACCCACCUGUCCCACUACCACCUGUACCUGGACGAGUUCGGGAAGGUCUGCUCUACAGGGAUGAGUUUGUCAACCUUCACUUCAUUGACAGACCUCAACCUCAGCCUCGUGCAGCUGUGUGAUGCUUCCCGACCCAUCAACAGGUUAAUUCCACACCUACUUCCAACUCUGCAGCCUGCAGUUCAAGUUCCCUCUUCAGGCGGAUGAACUGCAGCUCCUCCUCAUCCACCAACAUGGUGCAGGUCCCAACUGGUGUACUGGAGGAAGCUGCAGCGGCAGGAACUACUGGUGGUGGUGUGGUGGUGGUUUGAGGUGUGUCUGUGCUGGGUUGGGGAGGGACAGGUGGUGUGACAUCCACCUGAAGACUCCUGGCAAAAAUACAUCCAUCAGUACCUGCACUCAUAAUUUUCUUGUGUUAUUUGACUUACAUCCCCAUUUAUGGAAACAAUACAGUUUAGGUUGAAAAGCCUUUGCAGGAAAGGAGUGUGUGUUCCAGAGGUCAUUUCUUUGGUGUUCUGCUGUUCAGUACGUAAUGCCUACGUCGUUAAGGACAACUAGCAUGGUUCAUGAGUAAGCAGACCUGACCGAGGUCAGACGUGGGUCACGGCGCUCCGAAUGGAGUAGCCCGGGGCCAGCCUGUUGGCCUCUCCCCUGCCCCUCCAUCCCCCUCUCCCUUUUCAUCAAAAACCCAACAUCGUAAGAAACUAUUGUGACAUCAAGCUUAAUCAUGGUGACAGACAGUGAGUGCUAUGUGUUUGUGGUCCCGUGAAGACACUGAAGUUUAGAAAUGGUCAGUGUGACAUCGACACGGCCUUACUAUCCAGCCGACGUCCCAGGUGCCCCGAGGUACACCAGCCCGACCAUCAUGCUGCUGGGAGAACUCUGUUCAGCCGCCUCUACCUGCACCCCUGCCAUCAGCGGCGACCUGACCCUUUUUUGACCUAUACCCCUUUCAUAUUGUAAUUUCCCAUUUUUUUCAAAUAUAUUUCAAAAUUUGUAUUUUAAAUGUGUAUAUUUUCAGCUUUACAGCUGCAAUCACUUAAUAGACCGUUUUAUUUUUAUUAUUACUAGGAAGGAUGUCUCAACACAUUAUCAAGUCAGCUCUCGAUAGCAAUUGAAUAAAUUUCUGUACACAUUG